AAAGUGACAUUUCAGCCCUCAAGCUUGAAACGCCUUGAAUGCUGCAAAGUUUUCGAACCAGAGAUUUACACAGGGAACAAGACCAACAGUGGGACUGUACCUUCUAAGUGAAAAUUCCAACAGAACUUGGCGAGAUUGGGGCGUGUUUCUGGGCAGUUUACAGCCAGAACUCUUCCUCGGAAGCCCUAAACUGUACACGUACCGCUCCAGUUACAUAUUACUCUUCCGUUCAAACCAGAAAAUCACCGUCCUUAAAAGAUGUUCAGCAGCCACUGGUCUCCCCAAAGUUUGGAAUCUUACAACCGGAAUCAGAGACUCUUUAGGAUUAUUUCACACAACUGCAUCAUGCUAUGCUAAGGGACUGUCCAAAGUCCCCUUCGAACUAGGUCCACCAUUCCCAGGAGGAAGGAUUUCUAAACAGCUUUUUUGUCUCUGGAAAUUCACCCAGGCUUUACUUCCCAUAGGAGGCCCUACCAGGAGAGUGCUGGGGGCUCACGUCCUCUCAUGCACUUCUGCAGAGGGGACAUCUGCACUUGCGCAACAGUUUCAACAGAGUAGCCCCAAGAAGAAAGCCAUGUGGAGAAAUUCUGACAAAUGUGCAGGCUGAUGUGAGCUGCAGUGACUUCUGCACACCUCAAAUCACCACACAAGAGCAACUCCUCAUCUGUCUACAGAAGGAAAGUAAAGAAUUGCAAGUAUCACCAGGAGCAGAACUCCUCCACUUUCAUAAAUCCUCAGUGGGAUCUUGUGAACAGAUGCACAUAUUAUGAGGAAGAGGAGAAGGGGGGAAGAAGAAGAAAUUCAGCCAAGAUGGGAAGCAGGAAAAUGCCAUUUUAGAGAAG
Molecule: long non-coding RNA, 842 nt
Organism: Canis lupus familiaris (dog)
Lineage: Eukaryota; Metazoa; Chordata; Mammalia; Carnivora; Canidae
Exons: 3
Source: RefSeq, a predicted model, not a curated record